Molecule: non-coding RNA, 1778 nt
Organism: Pelobates cultripes (western spadefoot toad)
Lineage: Eukaryota; Metazoa; Chordata; Amphibia; Anura; Pelobatidae
Source: the annotation of a GenBank genome assembly
CUAGCACUUCCUGAGGACUCCAAGCACUGCAGCAGACACCACAACCACCGAACCGGAGAAGCAUAUGAAUGCUCUCAAGCAUUUGAAUGCUGUAAGCAGCUGAACAGGAAAAGCAUACAAUCAGCUUACACUCCUGGCAAUCAGCAUACAAUCCAAUUCCCCCAAUAACGAGACAACACUUCGUUUUGAGGUCAAGCAGAACUGACUGUACUGGCCCAUACAGUCUCUUUUAUUCACAAUCCACAAACAUAGUACUGCCCACAGGGUUUUGAAAUACAACCAAUCAAUCCGUACAAUACACACAGACACUCCCACACAAAAUCCUCCCCUCUGAUUACUGAACACAAUGGUUAAUAUAAUUAUCACAGGCAGAGAAAUACAGUAUCAUAAAACAUAUCACAGGGACCCCAAAACAUGCAAUAACCCCAUAUAUCCUUGGAACCGGGGGAUCUGGGUGAACCACAUAUCCAAAAUUCACCCAGAUCUGUUCAAUAGUUUGGAAGAUACAGUUUAAUGCAGAUUCCGCAGAACAUAUACAGGCUAUAUGAAAAAUAAUUACUGUAUAAUGUGUCUUCUGUUGUAUAGUUUAAAACUACUGCACAAUGUCUUUGUGCACCAAAUACUGGCGAGAUGGCACCAUGUAGAAAAGUCUAAACAGUGUCUGUGAGUUAAAAUGGCUGCCAUCCAUUGUUCUCACCAUGUGCUUCAUCCAUUGUUCUCACCAUGUGCAUCUGAUACAUGAAAUGGUGGCCACCCAAUAACUCCACAGUAUGUCCCCAGAUGGUUCUUAAAGGGCCAGUAGCACAACACAAAUCCUUUAUGCCCCAAUCAUGUCUUUAAAGGGCAAUACAUCCCAGGAGCCAUAGUCACAUGGCAGGAGGCUGGCAACCAGGCUUCUCCAGUGCCCAGUGGCCAGGUCGGUUUUGCCACAGCACCUAUUUUCCUGGAACUAUUUUGGGCUAGCACCUCAUGCCUGGUUGGUCGAAGCUUUACCCCGAUGGCAUAUCUGAGUGAUCUUUGGAUGUUAUACACUCAGACUGGAGGGGGCAGGGUGCACUUUUGAGGUACUGUAUAUUUUGUUGGACUUUCUGUACCUGAGAAACAAUUAGCUUAGAGGUUUUCUCUCAUGCAAUUAUCUCUCAGUCACAGAGGAUCCUAGGAUUGAAACCACUGUUUUAUUGUAUUGUAAACCCCAUGUAAGGGACUGGGGAUAAAAACCGUAUAUGGUCUGAAUAAACUCAGUUGACUCCCAGAACUAUGUUUCAUCUGGUUACUGGCAGAAUGUAUAUCUGAUAAAAUAGAAAGGUGAACAGCGCUAAAAAUCAGCAGAAUCGAUUUUCAUCAUCAGAGAAGGUAUAUAAUCUCAAGGACCCCAAGCAGCAAGCAUUCACUUUUGAGAAAGCUUCGGCGAAACGCGUCAAGUGAGGAAGAAUUUUGGACUUUUUUACAGGACUGGUUUUAUAGUUUAUUAUUCACUUUUCACUUAUUGUAUUAAAGUAUACAUAUAUUUUUUAAACUAUCCAGUCACUCCUCUUGUCCUCCUUCCUAUCCAAUACUGCUUUGCUGCUAUACCUGGGUCCACUAUAUCCCAAGGUGGGGAUUAUUCCACCUGAAAUUCUCCAAACUAGAGCAGGUCGUUGCUCUAGUAUAUGUAAGUAGGAUCAUCCACCUUUUUUUUACAAUAUUUUAUAUUUACGUACUAUACCAUGUGGUGUAUUUUACUCUUGUUUUUCAUGUAACGAAUAUUUACACCUAUAAAUUCACCAACGGUCUUGAAC